Maylandia zebra (zebra mbuna) is the source of this 480-nucleotide non-coding RNA. The record is from RefSeq and is a predicted model, not a curated record. NCBI's taxonomy places the organism in Eukaryota, Metazoa, Chordata, Actinopteri, Cichliformes, Cichlidae.
UCCACCUACAUCCACCUCUCCUGCUGUUCUCUCUGUGUUGUCAUGUGUUGGAUCAGUCUGUGUUGUGGUUCUACUGGUGUUACUGGUGAGACGAUAUGCUCACAAACAUCUUAAAGUAGUCAGCUUCUCAUCAGUGUGUCCUGGUUUCUCAACACCUGACACAGCUCUUGGUAAUGCGGGUGACGCCCAAGCUGGUAUGGCUUCUGUUAUCUGUCUCUUGUUCAUACCUCAGUGAGUGAUUCAACUGUAAUCUACUCAUCAGUGAGGACACAAGCCACACCAAAGAGGACCAGAGACAUUGAACUAGAGCCAGACGUCGUCUACUCUGUACUACCAGUCCAGCAGUAGUAGUCUAACAGUCCAACCACUGACGUCCAGCUGCUGGUCUUUAACUGGUCCCCCCAGCACAUCAGACCAAAGGAGAUCCACAUGUUACAAAGAAUUAUAUGUAUUAUGCAUUCUAUAUCUUCUUUUUCCAAU